AAACAAACCUCGGUCCGCCUGCAUAUUUAGAGAGGGACUGAAAACUGCGCAGUUCCGGAACUGGCUGACGUAGCAUUUUCAGGUGACCGGGUCAAAGUGGUUUCUCAUUCAGAGUAGCCAAAAUGUGUGGGGACAAUGUGGCGACUAGG
Molecule: non-coding RNA, 149 nt
Organism: Caenorhabditis elegans
Lineage: Eukaryota; Metazoa; Nematoda; Chromadorea; Rhabditida; Rhabditidae
Source: Ensembl